UACAAUAAUAAAUCAAACUCA
This 21-nucleotide non-coding RNA is filed under the name Caenorhabditis elegans. Lineage: Eukaryota; Metazoa; Nematoda; Chromadorea; Rhabditida; Rhabditidae. The record is from RNAcentral.